GGGUGAUUGACCCGAGCGGCAAAGGGGGCGGAUUGUAGUUCCGCCGCGCGCGAGCGCUUCGGGGGUUCGAGUCCCUCAUCACCCA
This 85-nucleotide transfer RNA is filed under the name Myxococcales bacterium. RNAcentral's name for it is "tRNA-Tyr". It matches the Rfam family "tRNA". From Rfam's summary of the family: Transfer RNA (tRNA) molecules are approximately 80 nucleotides in length. Their secondary structure includes four short double-helical elements and three loops (D, anti-codon, and T loops). Lineage: Bacteria; Pseudomonadati; Myxococcota; Myxococcia; Myxococcales. The record is from RNAcentral.